This 68-nucleotide transfer RNA is filed under the name Antimora microlepis (finescale mora). RNAcentral's name for it is "tRNA-Ser". The record is from RNAcentral. Lineage: Eukaryota; Metazoa; Chordata; Actinopteri; Gadiformes; Moridae.
GAGAGAGGCCCGACGGCAAUGAAGACUGCUAAUUAUCACCUCCCUGGUUUGACUCCUGGGCUCACUUA